CCCCUUUAGUUUUGUUUAUACAAGUCUGGAGAAUGAGUAACAAUGAGAGAUAUAAUGUAUUCUGGGGAGGUAAUAACCAACAGAAUAUUAAAAAGUGUCAUAGUUAAUUCAUGGGAAUUGCAUUUCCAUCGAAGUAUUCCCACAAUCAGGUUGGAAAGAAUUUUGGUUGACAUUUGUAACAGAGUUUGAUCUAGUAACACAGGGACAAAGUUGGUUUGGUCAACUUUGACGCAUGCAAAACUAAACUCGCCUGUCAUCUAAACUGGCCCUAUGUGGGGCUAGCUUCUACUAUUAAGUGCAGUCUUUGGGGAUAGAUGGAUAUCCUCAUUUUGUUCAAAGCUACAUAUAAUGCUUUUGCAAAAAGCGUUUUAAAAUACAUGUUUAUAGUUGUGUUUGUCUUGCGUGUUAAAUUACUUGUUUUAGUUUGGAAAAUAGUGAUAAAAUGCUGGGGCCUUGUAAGAUUGGAGUAUUUUGGUUGAGGUUGGGGGUUAGCACUGGUCCUUGUUUUCCUAAAUUUAUUGAUGGUUUGGUCUUAUUUA
This 539-nucleotide long non-coding RNA is filed under the name Bos taurus (domestic cattle). RNAcentral's name for it is "long non-coding RNA NONBTAT018971". Lineage: Eukaryota; Metazoa; Chordata; Mammalia; Artiodactyla; Bovidae. The record is from RNAcentral.